CUGUCAUGGUCCCCGUGCCUCGCUGGCUGACCCCGCGCUAGGUGACAUGUUUUGUUUUGUUUUCUGCGCUCUCUCGCUCUCUCUCCUCUGCCGGGCGGUGCUCAUUAUGGGCUUCUGCCCCUGGCCCACACACCUGUGUUCAAUCACCACACCUGCUGCUGAUCCCCAGCAACCCUGAGUCAUACUUAAGACGGUGAUCCUACGCUACUCAUCACUGGAUCGUUGAGCAAUCUGUAUCUUUCCUGGACCUGUCCCUGCAAACCUGAAAACCCCACGAACGAGUGUGUGGAAGCGUGAGAGGCUGCAGAGUAGAGUGGAGGACUUCUUUUCCCCCACGGACCCUGGAGCCCUGGACACCCCCCUGCACAUUGUUUAUACAUUCACUUGGUGUUUCCACUGUAAAUACAUGCACUGUUUCUUCUGCAAAGGAUCCCUGAUCUUCGCUUGAGUCCGUUUAAGAACUCUGACAAACACGUCUAUGCAAAAGCCUCAAUUAAUCAUACACUUUUGAGUAGGCACAGAAUUUGGUGAACUCUUUCAAUAUAAGUGUGUGUGUGUGUGUGUGUGUGCGUGCAUAUACACACAUGUGUAAACAUUUCUCCACUUCAUGAACCCCUAAAAUGUUGCAAUAAGACAUAGACCUGCACUUCAUCAGCCUUGUGUUGUACUGUUAUACUAUUUUUGACCAUAUGAGAGAUGAUUGCUGAUGAAUCAUUAGCGGGAAUAUUUUAUAUGCCAGAGAACAGCUCAUUAAAUGACAAUACAUAACAACAACCAAAUGCUGUUCCAACUAAAGCAUUUAAUGGAACCACAAUUGUAAAGCCAGUUCUACAGCUCAAAGUACAUUUAAUACUAGUACCACCGUAGGAAUACAAAGGGAGCCAAAGGUAGUUCAAAACAACAGAUUGAUAGAUGAAUCACAUUUAGCCAGGGAAUUGAACAUUGAACAGAUUAUUAGGGAAUCUUUCGUCAGUAACAACGGCAGGGGAUUUACAGUGUAUUUUUUAAGCUUCUGACAGGCAUAAAGACUGACGUAAAGAAAAAAAACAAAAUAAAAUGAAGCCUGAAAAACACAGGCCUGCCACUAAAAAGAAUAGACAGACUUAAUCCACUUGUAGACAACUGAAGACACAAGCCAGGAAGUCAGAGACAGAAUCAUCACAGAGAUAGCGCAGAAUGGACAAACAGAGUGCAUCACGGGCAGUAAAACAGCAUUUGUUGUCAUGUCCAUAACUUAGACUCCCCUGAGGUUUUUCCUCUGAAAUGACAAUCGGACAUUGUAGUUCUCGUCUCUGGUGUCAGAGGAGAAAAAAAAAAUCCAUCCCCCUUCCCGCCUCUUCUCAGAUCCCUCUCUAAAUCUCAUCUGGUUUCAUCAUAAAAAACGACAGGCUGUCUUGGUAAAGCAAAAGGUUUAUAUCAGGAAGAGGCCGGGGUGGGACAAAAGCAAAGGCAUGACAAAGAGGGCCAACAUUUACUCUUGCUUUCUGCCAAGAGUAAAUGUAACCAAAGCCAGUUGCUCACAAACUAAUGGAGAAAAUUUACACAUGGAGGUAAAUAUAUAGUUUUGAAGUCUAAGGAGCUUGGAAAGAAAAGCGUCUGGACUACUUUAAGUUUCUUGAACAAGAAACUUAAAGAUGACCUGGAUGACUGAGAACCUUCACAGACAAUAUAGUUUUGAAGAAUCAAAAUGUGUUUCUCAAGUUACUGUUUAUUGUUUUGUUUAGAGCGAGAAGUAAGUUUGACAAUGAUACACCUAGACCUGGAGAGUAUUCUUAGCAGCAACACACUGCAAAUUUUCAAAGUCGUCAGUCAAGUGACAACUUCAUGGAGGUAAAUACAGAUGGUUUGAAACAAGGUGCAAACCUCUGGUUACUGUCAUGGUACGUGUGGACUGUUGGGUAUUUUCCUGUAUGGCUCCUUUUGCACCGGUGUCCGCCUCUGGGCCCAUUCAUUUACCUGGACAGCUCACCUGAAACUAAUGCGUGACAAUCAUCAAAGGGUAUUUAUGACCAGCAUCUCUGUCUUUUCACUGCUAGUUUGUCAACUUACCCAUGUUGGUAACAGGUUCACUCUUCUUGCUCUGUAGCUCAGUCUCGUGUGUACUUACCUUGAUUUCCAUGUGCUACAGCUUCAUCACACCACUACUCCACGAUAUAACGGAACUCUCCUUUUGGACACUGGCCACAGCCCUCACCUGAUCUACGCCACGCUUCAAUCUCCAGGAAGAAAAUCCUCACCACACUCACCUGCCUGCUCUCCUGCCACCACAGCUCACAGGGAGCCCUGGAAUUCAGGUCCGCUCAUCUUCUUUGCGCGUAACUCGUCACUCGGACCGAGCUUAGUUCUCCACCUGCAAAAUGAGACCUCUUGCUCCCCAUGCAACCAGCCACACCCUGAGCUUGCCACCCUUAGCCCGUCACGCUAGCUUAUCUUGUCACGAAUCCCCUGCCAAGUAUAACUCUGUGUUUUUGUGCCAAAUAAAAGUUUGUGUGAAUUUAACUCAACCAUCUCUGCACGUGGUUCAGCACUUGAGUCCAGUUUUGUACAGGCCUUUGGCCUCAAGUGACAGUUACACUCAAGAACAGAUCAUACUUUGCCAGAAAACAAAAAAGCCUGCUUACUUCUAAAAAAAAAAAGAAUGAAUAAAU
Molecule: long non-coding RNA, 2648 nt
Organism: Oreochromis niloticus (Nile tilapia)
Lineage: Eukaryota; Metazoa; Chordata; Actinopteri; Cichliformes; Cichlidae
Exons: 3
Source: RefSeq, a predicted model, not a curated record